CAAGCCGUGGAAAGCAAGAAAGCAUAGAACAGAACAGCUAUUCUAGAGAAUAAGUAAUAACUAUACGAAACUGGAAUUUUAAAUUGUUCUUAUAUAACUGAUAAAUGUUUCUACUCUAGUUUUCUGUCACAUUGGAACUUCUGUUUCAAACAAGUAUUUACCACCUUCUUUGUUUUUCUUCUAGCAGCAAAGUAAAUGAUUCUAAUUCACUAUUCACAAUUCAGACACGCUUUCAGAAACUCCCCACCCUCCAUCGCUGCCUGACAGGAGGCCGCACCCAGCAGCAGCGUGUCGCUCUCCUUGCUCAGGUGACAAGCGACAGGACGCGAGGUGACAGCCCCGGGCUGCACCAGGGGGGUUUGGGUUGGGUGUCAGGAAGGAUUUCCUCACAGUGUGCGGCCAGGCCUUGGAAUGGGCUGCAGAAGGGGGGGAGGCUGGGCCCCGCUCGGCCAGCACCG
This is a long non-coding RNA of Cygnus olor (mute swan), 458 nucleotides long. RefSeq lists it as uncharacterized. The transcript is spliced from 3 exons. The record is from RefSeq and is a predicted model, not a curated record. NCBI's taxonomy places the organism in Eukaryota, Metazoa, Chordata, Aves, Anseriformes, Anatidae.